Molecule: long non-coding RNA, 1134 nt
Organism: Homo sapiens (human)
Lineage: Eukaryota; Metazoa; Chordata; Mammalia; Primates; Hominidae
Product: long intergenic non-protein coding RNA 841
Source: Ensembl
GCAACGCACAUGUGCCCCUGCAGGGUGGCAUAGACGGCGAGCCCAGGGAGGCCACUGACAUGCAUUCAAGAGAAAAGAAAAGAAGCCAGGCUUUGGUCAGUUGUGAAUAUACCAUCUCCUGACUCCCAAGCAUUGGUUCAUCAUCCAGCUGGCAAUUGUUGAGCCUCAGCCAAUGGUGGAACCAAAAUCUAGUAUCUCUGGAGUAAUUUCCAUUUCCAACAGAAGGAGAGUGACUUUCACUGACUCUUACUCUCCAUUUGGAUUUCAGGCAUAAGUGCUUCAUGGUGGAGUGAGAAUGGCUUGCCCUGGAAGGGUCAUGUUUUAGAAGGAGUGAUCUUCAUUGUGAAGUCUAAACUGUUCUGGAAAUAUAAGCUUUGAAACCCAGUACUGAAUUCUCACAGGAAGUCUCAGACGAAGACACUGCUAACUCCACUUUCAGAGAGAAACACUGAGGCUCAGAGCUAAACUAACUCGCCUCAGAGCCCACAUCCUGGACUUGAGCCUCAGGGUGUUGCAUGCCAAAGCCUGUCCUCUUCACCCCAGCUUCCUGGGCAUUGGAGCGGAUCCAUAGUGUUAGAUAUGCAGUGGGAAUGGCCCCCAUUCCAAGCCACUUCCUGACCUGAUGGCAGCACCCUGCUAGUCCUCACAUGGAGCCCUGGAGAAGCCGGGUUCCUUAACCCAGAUUUGAAUCAAUAGCCUCACACCUGGUAUGCACAUCCAGGCCAAGUGUGGCUGAAUGGGGAGCAUCUGUUCUGGAGACGGCCACCCUCAUGGGCUCCUCUGCUUCCUGUCCCUUCGGGCACUGAUUUAUGGCACACAGCAGGGAAGGGCCUGAGCUUGAGCCCUGACCAUCGUUAUCAUCACCAUCUUCAUUCCAGUGCAGUGAAGAACAUUCUGAAGGUAGAGAUGAAGGUCUUCUUUCUGAAUGAAGCUCCUUGCAUGAUUCAGGGAUCUUCCUCUUGAAGGCACCAAUCAUUUUGACUUUAAUGCAUGCACUCUGACUUACUUGUGGUGAUCUCUCCUGGAAAUACAUGGAAAAAUGAAAAAUAGGCUAACUGGGGAGAUUUCUUAAAUACCAGUUUGUAUGGCUGUGUUAACCUGAAUGAUUAAAUAUAGGAUUGUUUUUUAAGUUAC